This is a long non-coding RNA of Gallus gallus (chicken), 500 nucleotides long. Lineage: Eukaryota; Metazoa; Chordata; Aves; Galliformes; Phasianidae. The record is from Ensembl.
GGCUUUUUUAUAGCCAGGGGGCCAGCAGGGGAAGCAGUGGUCACAAGCAGAGGUUGGAAGCUGGCUUAUUAAGUAAAUCUCAGGCUGUGACUGGUUUUAAUUUAUUUCUUGUUUUAUGUGCAAGGGACAGGGCCCUGCAGGCCUGGCUAGUAUCAAAGCCUGGGGUUUGUAGGUUUUUAAUCAAGGUCCACUUUGGGGGGCUCUACUUUCAGUGGUUGGGGAUGUGUGGGGAUUUUUUCAUGGCGUUUUUUUCCUGCUGCAGUGUCUGGAUUUCUUUAGUUAAACUUUUCCAUUCUUCAAACCUGAGCCAAGAUGAAAGGGAAGAAGGAAAUCUUCUGCAUGGCUGCAUCUCAAAAAGCAGGCUGCAGGUGCAGAGUUGAUCCACCUCCCAUGCAUUCAGCAGUAAUGCAGAGAACCUGGGACAGGCAUUCAGCUUCGGCAGUUAAGGAAGAGAAGAGGGGAACAGCUUGGCACAGUCAGAGCUCUUAAAUACUAUCAGC